Molecule: long non-coding RNA, 471 nt
Filed under: Pan troglodytes (chimpanzee)
Lineage: Eukaryota; Metazoa; Chordata; Mammalia; Primates; Hominidae
Description: long non-coding RNA NONPTRT017713
Source: RNAcentral
GUGAGAGAAGGAAGGAAUCCUGAGGUGAGAGAAGGAAGGAAUCCUGAGGUGAGGAGAGAAGGAAGGAAUCCUGACGUGAGCAGAGAAGGAAGGAAUCCUGAGGUGAGAGAAGGAAGGAAUCCUGAGGUGAGCAGAGAAGGAAGGAAUCCUGAGGUGAGCAGAGAAGGAAGGAAUCCCGAGGUGAGAGAAGGAAGGAAUCCUGAGGUGAGAGAAGGAAGGAAUCCUGACGUGAGCAGAGAAGGAAGGAAUCCCGAGGUGAGAAGGAAGGAAUCCCGAGGUGAGAGAAGGAAGGAAUCCUGAGGUGAGGAGAGAAGGAAGGAAUCCUGAGGUGAGGAGAGAAGGAAGGAAUCCUGAGGUGAGCAGAGAAGGAAGGAAUCCUGAGGUGAGAGAAGGAAGGAAUCCCGAGGUGAGAGAAGGAAGGAAUCCCGAGGUGAGCAGAGAAGGAAGGAAUCCCGAGGUGAGAGAAGGAAG